GAUCAUGGCUCAGAUUGAACGCUGGCGGCAUGCCUUACACAUGCAAGUCGAACGGCAGCACGGGUGCUUGCACCUGGUGGCGAGUGGCGAACGGGUGAGUAAUAUAUCGGAACGUACCUUAUCGUGGGGGAUAACGCAGCGAAAGCUGCGCUAAUACCGCAUACGCCCUGAGGGGAAGCGGGGACCGUAAGGCCUCGCGCGAUUGGAGCGGCCGAUGUCGGAUUAGCUAGUAGGUGAGGUAAAGGCUCACCUAGGCGACGAUCCGUAGCGGGUCUGAGAGGAUGAUCCGCCACACUGGGACUGAGACACGGCCCAGACUCCUACGGGAGGCAGCAGUGGGGAAUAUUGGGCAAUGGAGGAAACUCUGACCCAGCGACGCCGCGUGCGGGAUGAAGGCCUUCGGGUUGUAAACCGCUUUCAGCAGGGAAGAAGCGAAAGUGACGGUACCUGCAGAAGAAGCACCGGCUAACUAUGUG
This 476-nucleotide ribosomal RNA is filed under the name uncultured bacterium. Its description in RNAcentral is "bacterial SSU rRNA". It matches the Rfam family "Bacterial small subunit ribosomal RNA", at positions 15 to 507 of the family's 1533-position model. The record is from RNAcentral.